Molecule: ribosomal RNA, 1055 nt
Filed under: Hymenolepis diminuta
Lineage: Eukaryota; Metazoa; Platyhelminthes; Cestoda; Cyclophyllidea; Hymenolepididae
Description: eukaryotic LSU rRNA
Rfam family: Eukaryotic large subunit ribosomal RNA
Source: RNAcentral
UUUAACAUGUSYGCGAGUCAAAGGGUCCUACCAAACCCCUAGGCCUAUUGAAAGUAAAGUUCAUACUGCACUUCUGCACAUGCGCAGUGUAGUGUGGCGAGGUGAGAUCUCGUUGUACUCAUGACACACGCCGUGUAAACCUUUACUAGGCAUUAUUGGGGCAACGAGCGCAUCACCGGCCCGUCCCAUGAUGUGGUCAUGGGUGGACUUGUGCGUGGAGUGGUAAUACACAAAGCGUACAAAGCCUGUGCGUCAUCGGGGCGGAGCAUGAGCACACACGUUGAGACCCGAAAGAUGGUGAACUAUGCUUGCGUAGGUUGAAGCCAGAGGAAACUUUGGUGGAGGACCGUAGCGAUUUUGACGUGCAAAUCGAUUGUCAAACGUGAGUAUAGGGGCGAAAGACUAAUCGAACCAUCUAGUAGCUGGUUCCCUCCGAAGUUUCCCUCAGGAUAGCUGGCACUCAUUGGUAUAAUCAGUUUUAUCCGGUAAAGCGAAUGAUUAGAGGUACUGGGUCCGAAAUGGACUCAACCUAUUCUCAAACUUUAAAUGGGUGAGAUGCUCGACUCGCCUCAUGUGCGUGUGUGUAUUAAUUGUGCGGAGUCGAGCGUUGAAUGUGCGAGUGCCAAGUGGGCCAUUUUUGGUAAGCAGAACUGGCGCUGUGGGAUGAACCAAACGCGUGGUUAAGGUGCCUAACGCUGACGCUCAUGAGAUACCACAAAAGGUGUUGGUUAAUAUAGACAGCAGGACGGUGGCCAUGGAAGUCGGCAUCCGCUAAGGAGUGUGUAACAACUCACMUGCCGAAUUGACCAGCCCUGAAAAUGGAUGGCGCUAGAGCGUCGGACAUAUACCGCGCCGUCAUUGCAAGMUGGAUAUAUGGGGUUGUCUAUUAUGUGUGGCGUGUGUGUUCGCAGAUACAAUCAUGGUCCAGGCAUGGAGCGCGAUGACGAGUAGGAGGGUCUCCGUGGUGAGCGUAGAAGCCUCUGGCGUGAGUCAGGGUGGAGCCGCCACGGGUGCAGAUMUUGGUGGUAGUAGCAAAUAUUCAAGUGAGAACUAUG